Molecule: ribosomal RNA, 497 nt
Filed under: uncultured bacterium
Lineage: Bacteria
Description: partial 16S ribosomal RNA
Rfam family: Bacterial small subunit ribosomal RNA
Source: RNAcentral
GAUGAACGCUGGCGGCGUGCCUAAUACAUGCAAGUCGAGCGAACAGACGAGGAGCUUGCUCCUCUGACGUUAGCGGCGGACGGGUGAGUAACACGUGGAUAACCUACCUAUCAGACUGGGAUAACUUCGGGAAACCGGAGCUAAUACCGGAUAAUAUAUUGAACCGCAUGGUUCAAUAGUGAAAGACGGUUUUGCUGUCACUUAUAGCUGGAUCCGCGCCGCAUUAGCUAGUUGGUAAGGUAACGGCUUACCAAGGCAACGAUGCGUAGCCGACCUGAGAGGGUGAUCGGCCACACGGGAACGGAGACACGGUCCAGACUCCUACGGGAGGCAGCAGUAGGGAAUCUUCCGCAAUGGGCGAAAGCCUGACGGAGCAACGCCGCGUGAGUGAUGAAGGUCUUCGGAUCGUAAAACUCUGUUAUGAGGGAAGAACAAAUGUGGAAGUAACUAUGCACGUCUUGACGGUACCUAAUCAGAAAGCCACGGCUAACUACGUG